This 253-nucleotide ribosomal RNA is filed under the name uncultured bacterium. RNAcentral describes it as "partial 16S ribosomal RNA". It matches the Rfam family "Bacterial small subunit ribosomal RNA", at positions 524 to 776 of the family's 1533-position model. The record is from RNAcentral.
UACAGAGGGGGCAAGCGUUGUUCGGAAUUACUGGGCGUAAAGGGUGCGCAGGUGGGUUUGCAAGUUCGAUGUGAAAGCCCCGGGCUUAACCCGGGAAUGGCAUUGGAUACUGCAGAUCUGGAGGAUCGGAGGGGGGACUGGAAUUCUUGGUGUAGCAGUGAAAUGCGUAGAUAUCAAGAGGAACACCAGUGGCGAAGGCGAGUCCCUGGACGAUACCUGACACUGAGGCACGAAAGCUAGGGGAGCAAACAGG